GCGCAGAGAGGAGGAGAGGAGAGGGGUGCAGGCAUAGACAUAAUAAAAGAUAGACCCCGCAUCGGCCGCUACCACGAAUGGGCGCUGUCGAGAAAUGCGGCCGCCAUCUUGGUCCGGUCAUCCGCCUCACUCUGCACCGCUGUUUAACCGGCGGAAUGAAGUCUGAGCGCAUUAAAUGAAUCAUAGUUCGCUCAAUACUACGUAAUUUUCUUCUCUGCAAACGCCAUUCAAAGAGGCAUGAUAGAGGCCAUAUUUUUUUUGGCGUUUUCAAAUACUCAGAAUGAAUAAAAUGAUAUUUUAGAACAUGGCAGCAGUGGCUGUAUUAUAGUAUAACAAUUAAUCAAGGAUAUAUCUAGGUUUAGAGCUAGGUUCCUGCUAUGUCUCAAUAAUUAUUAAUAACUGGCGGUUUUAAUAGGCCAAUUCAAUAUAUAUUGAUUUGAUUAUAUUUUAUUUAGUUUAAUGUUAUUUAUCCAUUUGUAGACACACACAAAUAAUCUCAUAUAGAAGCACUAUUUUAAUAACUGGAAAAUACACACAAAGAAAUACACACAAAUAUUAAGCCUACAUAUCAAAAAAAUUUAAACACAAGAAAAGCAUGACAGGACAGCAUCUAAACUACAUAUCAAUUUGCUUGUUGGCUACACAGCACAGAGGAAUCACUUGCUGCGAAUUUCUCCCUCUAACAGCAAUCUCCCACUUCUUCCUCAAGUUUUUGUCCUUAGGAAAUCUUCAAAAUGAAACAGGAGAUCACCACAAAGAAAUCUUUAAUAAAACAGAUAAUAAAACAGAGCUCACUUUCUUCCUUCUUCUUUCUAUUUUAUUUCUUAACGUUUCUUAGAACCUCUCUCAAACAAAAGUUUUUCAAUCUAAUGCGAAUCUGUUGAUAAUCGAGCAAAGUUGCUAUUAUUGUGAAUAAGCUAGCUGUUCGCAAAUGCUGUUUCCUUUUUGGAGUUGACCGAUAGUCUUCCUCUUUGGCCUACAAAUGACUCUACAGUCAAGUGUAAUGUUGAAAAAACGUGUAAUCAUAACUGUGAAGUUAUUCCUUGAGCCCUGUUCUCUGCUGUCCGCCUGUUGGCACAGGAAUACGCCGCACAGUGCUCCGGCAUCGCUGAAUGAAUGAAUGAAUGAAUAUGAUUGACCGGAGCGUAUGGGAAGCUUGACCUGACCAAGAUGGCGGCCGCAUUUCUCGCUGCGCAGCACCCCCAGCGGGGUCUACCCUUUUAUUAUGUCUAUGGGUGCAGGCAGAAGGAGAGGAGAGAUGAAUCAGCUCCACGUCCCCGGAUGUUGAUCUUCCUCCAGCGUCGUAAACCUGUUUAUUCUGAAUAAUAAUAAUAAUAAUAAUAAUAAUAAUAAUAAUAAUAAUAAUAAUAAUAAUAAUAUCAUUCUGUAACAAACCCUCUUCACCUCAUCGAGACUUUUCAAAUCCUGUUUUUAGGUUUAAAAGGACGGGACUGUGUCACAGCGACGUCCGCAGGCAGAAAGAGGAACUGCAGGAGAAACAUAAAGGAUGUAAAUACACUGAACUGCAGGACAAAACAAAUAUCAGAUUAACCCUAGAAGACUGUCACUAAAAUUAACACCAUCACUACCACUGGGUGAUUUUUACCUGAAAUAAUAUACCCAAGAAAAAGUACUUGUCAUCCAAAUAUAUCAAAAUAGGACAAUACAUGACAAAUUAAAGUAGUUUUCUUAUAUUUUUAACUGUGCAAUGUCCAAAGGGAGGGAAAAAAAUUGACAUGAGGGUACCAUAUAAAA
This is a non-coding RNA of Xyrichtys novacula (pearly razorfish), 1755 nucleotides long. The record is from the annotation of a GenBank genome assembly. Lineage: Eukaryota; Metazoa; Chordata; Actinopteri; Labriformes; Labridae.